CCUACGGGAGGCAGCAGUGAGGAAUAUUGGUCAAUGGGCUUACGCCUGAACCAGCCAAGUCGCGUGAGGGAAGACUGCCCUAUGGGUUGUAAACCUCUUUUGUCAGGGAGCAAGUGGCGCUACGUGUAGCGUUAUCGAGAGUAGCUGAAGAAAAAGCAUCGGCUAACUACGUGCCAGCAGCCGCGGUAAGACGGAGGAUGCGAGCGUUAUCCGGAUUGAUUGGGUUUAAAGGUACCGUAGGCGGAAUGCCAAGUCAGCGGUAAAAUCGCGGGGCUAAACCUCGCUCCGCAGUUGAAACUGGCGUUCUUGAGUGGGCUAGAAGUAUGCAGAAUGCGUGGUGUAGCGGUGAAAUGCAUAGAGAUCACGCAGAACUCCGAUUGCGAAGGCAGCAUACCGGCGCCCAACUGACGCUGAAGCACGAAAGCGUGGGUAUCGAACAGGAUUAGAUACCCCUGUAGUC
RNAcentral lists this ribosomal RNA (460 nucleotides) under uncultured bacterium. RNAcentral's name for it is "partial 16S ribosomal RNA". It matches the Rfam family "Bacterial small subunit ribosomal RNA", at positions 338 to 795 of the family's 1533-position model. The record is from RNAcentral.